Long non-coding RNA from Gymnogyps californianus (California condor), 504 nucleotides. RefSeq lists it as uncharacterized. The transcript is spliced from 3 exons. The record is from RefSeq and is a predicted model, not a curated record. Lineage: Eukaryota; Metazoa; Chordata; Aves; Accipitriformes; Cathartidae.
UCUUGGACCUUCUUCAUUGCUAUGGACCUGCGUGGUGGCCAUCACUGCCCCAAAACUGGCUCUCCUUGCUCUGGUACUGAGCCCCUUGUUGGUGAGGUUGCUGUCCCCCUUGGUUCCUGGCUCAUCUUCCUUUGCAGAACAGCCACCUCUUGCUGCUUCUUGAUGCUUUAUCCCCAGGUCCUUGUUGACCACAGCCUGCUGCUUCUGCGGAGCGCUUCCCUCGUUUGUCAAGACUGGUCCAAGUGCCCAUUGUCUCCCAUUUGCUUGCACCGCUGCCCCAGCUGAUGUUGUCUCCAAACUUACUGUUUCGCCCAGGUCAGACAGUGAUAAUAGUGACCCAGGACAAAUCCUCACCCAGUGCAUACAGGAAGAACCCUUUUCUCGAUGUAAGAGCCUUGCUGGUGAACGCGAGGCCAUGGAAGAGCCAGGUAGCUCCUCACCUGUAGGAGCGCUUUCCCUUGCUGUCCUGCAUGUGAUGGUACUGUCAUUUCUACCUCUAUGGCU